This 1466-nucleotide ribosomal RNA is filed under the name uncultured bacterium. RNAcentral describes it as "partial 16S ribosomal RNA". It matches the Rfam family "Bacterial small subunit ribosomal RNA". The record is from RNAcentral.
AAUGAACGCUGGCGGCGUGCUUAACACAUGCAAGUCGAACGAGAAAGUCCCUUCGGGGACGAGUAUAGUGGCGAACGGGUGAGUAACGCGUAAGAAUUUACCUAUUAGUGGAGAAUACCUCCGGGAAACCGGGGCUAAUACUGCAUAAGUCCCUUCGGGGAGAAAGAUGGCCUCUUUGCUGUCGCUGAUAGAUAAGCUUGCGUACUAUUAUGCUUGUUGGUGAGGUAAAGGCUCACCAAGGCUUUGAUGGUUAGCCGGCCUGAGAGGGUGAUCGGCCACAUUGGGACUGAGAUACGGCCCAGACUCCUACGGGAGGCAGCAGUGGGGAAUAUUGCACAAUGGACGAAAGUCUGAUGCAGCGACGCCGCGUGGAGGAUGACGGUUUUCGGAUUGUAAACUCCUGUUAAGAGGGAAGAAAGGCGUAUGGUUAAUACCCAUACGAGAUGACGGUACCUCUAGAGAAAGCUCCGGCUAACUUCGUGCCAGCAGCCGCGGUAAUACGAAGGGAGCGAGCGUUAUUCGGAAUUACUGGGCGUAAAGGGUGCGUAGGCGGUAUAUUAAGUCAGUUGUUAAAUCCCAUGGCUUACCCAUGGAUCGGCAAUUGAUACUGGUAAACUUAGAGGGCAAGAGAGAGAAGUGGAAUUCUCGGAGUAGCGGUAAAAUGCGUAGAUCUCGAGAGGAACACCGAUGGCGAAGGCAGCUUCUUGGCUUGUCCCUGACGCUGAGGCACGAAAGCGUGGGGAGCAAACAGGAUUAGAUACCCUGGUAGUCCACGCCGUAAACGAUGAUCACUAGAUGUCGGUUUUGCUUAGCGAGAUCGGUGUCACAGCUAACGCGUUAAGUGAUCCGCCUGGGGAGUACGGUCGCAAGAUUAAAACUCAAAGGAAUUGACGGGGGUCCGCACAAGCGGUGGAACAUGUGGUUUAAUUCGACACUACGCGAGAAACCUUACCUAGACUUGACAUGUGGGUGACCGCUAUUGAAAGAUAGUUUUCCUAGUUUACUAGGACACUUACACAGGUGCUGCAUGGCUGUCGUCAGCUCGUGUCGUGAGAUGUUGGGUUAGGUCCCGCAACGAGCGCAACCCCUGUUGUUAGUUGCCAUCAUUAAGUUGGGCACUCUAGCAAGACUGCCGGUCGUUAAGCCGGAGGAAGGUGGGGACGACGUCAAGUCCUCAUGGCCCUUAUGUCCAGGGCUACACACGUGCUACAAUGGGAGGUACAAAGGGCUGCGAACUCGCGAGGGUAAGCGAAUCCCAAAAAACCUUCCUCAGUACGGAUAGGAGUCUGCAACUCGACUCCUUGAAGUUGGAAUCGCUAGUAAUCCCUGAUCAGAAGGCAGGGGUGAAUACGUUCCCGGGCCUUGUACACACCGCCCGUCACACCAUGGGAGUUGACUGCUCCAGAAGUGGCUGAGCUAACCCGCGAGGGAAGCAGGUCCCCAAGGAGUGGUUGGUAACUGGGGUG